RNAcentral lists this ribosomal RNA (376 nucleotides) under uncultured bacterium. Its description in RNAcentral is "bacterial SSU rRNA". It matches the Rfam family "Bacterial small subunit ribosomal RNA", at positions 524 to 898 of the family's 1533-position model. The record is from RNAcentral.
GACAGAGGUCCCGAGCGUUAGGCGGAAUCACUGGGCUUAAAGCGUGUGUAGGCGGAUGUCUAAGUGCUUUGUGAAAUCCCACGGCUCAACCGUGGAAUUGCUGGGCAUACUGGAUGUCUUGAGUGGCCUAGGGGCAACUGGAACAAACGGUGGAGCGGUGAAAUGCGUAGAUAUCGUUUGGAACGCCAAAGGUGAAAACAGGUUGCUGGGGGCCAACUGACGCUGAGACACGAAAGCCAGGGGAGCAAACGGGAUUAGAUACCCCGGUAGUCCUGGCCGUAAACGAUGUCGACUAGAUCGCAGUGCCUCUGACGGUAUUGCGGUCGAAGCAAAAGUGCUAAGUCGACCGCCUGGGAAGUACGGUCGCAAGGCUAAA